GAGUUUUAUCGUGGCUCAGAUUGAACGCUGGCGGCAUGCCUUACACAUGCAAGUCGAACGGCAGCACGGGAGCUUGCUCCUGGUGGCGAGUGGCGAACGGGUGAGUAAUGCAUCGGAACGUAUCCUGGAGUGGGGGAUAACGUAGCGAAAGUUACGCUAAUACCGCAUAUUCUGUGAGCAGGAAAGCGGGGGACCUUCGGGCCUCGCGCUCUUGGAGCGGCCGAUGUCGGAUUAGCUAGUUGGUGAGGUAAAGGCUCACCAAGGCGACGAUCCGUAGCAGGUCUGAGAGGAUGAUCUGCCACACUGGAACUGAGACACGGUCCAGACUCCUACGGGAGGCAGCAGUGGGGAAUUUUGGACAAUGGGGCAACCCUGAUCCAGCCAUGCCGCGUGAGUGAAGAAGGCCUCGGUUGUAA
This 416-nucleotide ribosomal RNA is filed under the name bacterium enrichment culture clone ALO1_GLFRUDD03FKJBF. RNAcentral describes it as "bacterial SSU rRNA". It matches the Rfam family "Bacterial small subunit ribosomal RNA", at positions 9 to 428 of the family's 1533-position model. The record is from RNAcentral.